AUCUGGACGGCGGAAUUCAGGAUGGCUGUGCGUGUUUCGCGCGCGUACGGCCGUUUGAUAUUUCCGUCGUCGUCGUAAGACACAGACGUCGCGACCUGUUUGUCGUCGGUCCCUGUUCGAAGGAGCCGCGGUCGAGUUCGUUGCGGGCGCGUUUACGCGCGUCUCGCGGUGAAGCCGCGUGCCUCUGGCCGAUCGACGGACAGUAUGCUGUAAACAACGGUGUCCGGCGCCGUCGUCUCGUACGCACGGCUGUCAGAGCACCGGUCGGCGACGAUUUCUUCGGGCCUCUUUCCGACCCGUCUUGAAACACGGACCAAGGAGUCUAACGUGCGCGCGAGUCGCGGGGUUACAUAACGAAACCCGUGUGCGCUUGGCGCACUAGAAGGCGUAAUGAAAGUGAAUGGGGAAGAUGGCGUUCCGAGUACACGUUCCGCGGUCACUGGUAUCGCGGCCGGACGUCCGCAUUCCCGGGGCGUCUCAACGGCCCGUCGUAGAUGUCGGGCGGUCGUCUUUCGGGGCGGCCGUCGGUCCGCGUCGAACCGA
Molecule: ribosomal RNA, 543 nt
Filed under: Furcaspis sp. D0813A
Lineage: Eukaryota; Metazoa; Arthropoda; Insecta; Hemiptera; Diaspididae
Description: eukaryotic LSU rRNA
Source: RNAcentral